UGGGGAAUUUUGGACAAUGGGCGAAAGCCUGAUCCAGCAAUGCCGCGUGUGUGAAGAAGGCCUUCGGGUUGUAAAGCACUUUUGUCCGGAAAGAAAUGGCUCUGGUUAAUACCUGGGGUCGAUGACGGUACCGGAAGAAUAAGGACCGGCUAACUACGUGCCAGCAGCCGCGGUAAUACGUAGGGUCCAAGCGUUAAUCGGAAUUACUGGGCGUAAAGCGUGCGCAGGCGGUUGUGCAAGACCGAUGUGAAAUCCCCGAGCUUAACUUGGGAAUUGCAUUGGUGACUGCACGGCUAGAAUGUGUCAGAGGGGGGUAGAAUUCCACGUGUAGCAGUGAAAUGCGUAGAGAUGUGGAGGAAUACCGAUGGCGAAGGCAGCCACCUGGGAUAACACUGACGCUCAUGCACGAAAGCGUGGGGAGCAAACAGG
This 429-nucleotide ribosomal RNA is filed under the name Acidobacteriota bacterium. Its description in RNAcentral is "Acidobacteria bacterium partial 16S ribosomal RNA". It matches the Rfam family "Bacterial small subunit ribosomal RNA", at positions 355 to 776 of the family's 1533-position model. Lineage: Bacteria; Pseudomonadati; Acidobacteriota. The record is from RNAcentral.